RNAcentral lists this unclassified non-coding RNA (384 nucleotides) under fungal sp. Its description in RNAcentral is "partial internal transcribed spacer region". The stretch from base 1 to 46 matches the Rfam family "Eukaryotic small subunit ribosomal RNA", at positions 1786 to 1831 of the family's 1831-position model. The record is from RNAcentral. Lineage: Eukaryota; Fungi.
AAGUCGUAACAAGGUUUCCGUAGGUGAACCUGCGGAAGGAUCAUUAACACGUAUCCAAACGUUAAAACCCCCCCCGUGAACCUUCAUCCUGCUCUUGUAACCCGCGUAGUUUGCAAUCUCUGAUAAAUCAUAGCCCGGAAAGUUGUAGUGAUCCAGAGACCUCUGGCUACGUGCGAACAUUGGAACAGUUACCAUCGAGCGGUAGUUCUAUAGGCAAUGUUUUCCGAAAGCGCUUCUACGAUUCCUGUAGACCGUACACUCGGGCAGGAGCUUUGCCAAAGGGUCCCCAUGCCCCCUAAUAACCCCACAGUUUAAUGUGAAGCUCAAUGUAAUCCAUUGGGUAAAAAAACCGAACAACUGUUAACAAUGGAUGUCUUGGUUCUC